RNAcentral lists this ribosomal RNA (405 nucleotides) under uncultured bacterium. Its description in RNAcentral is "partial 16S ribosomal RNA". It matches the Rfam family "Bacterial small subunit ribosomal RNA", at positions 30 to 526 of the family's 1533-position model. The record is from RNAcentral.
AUUGAACGCUAGCGGGAUGCUUUACACAUGCAAGUCGAACGAGUGGCGGACGGGUGAGUAAUAUAUCGGAACGUGCCCAGUAGCGGGGGAUAACUACUCGAAAGAGUGGCUAAUACCGCAUACUAAUGGAGGCGGCGGUAUGGGGUUAGCCAGGUGGUGGGGUAAAGGCUCACCAAGGCAACGAUCCGUAGCUGGUUUGAGAGGACGACCAGCCACACUGGGACUGAGGCACGGCCCAGACUCCUACGGGAGGCAGCAGUGGGGAAUUUUGGACAAUGGGGGAAACCCUGAUCCAGCCAUCCCGCGUGUAUGAGAAGGCCUUCGGGUUGUAAAGUACUUUUGGCAGAGAAGCGGUAUCUGCAGAAUAAGCACCGGCUAACUACGUGCCAGCAGCCGCGGUAAUUC